GACGAACGCUGGCGGCGUGCCUAAUACAUGCAAGUAGACCUGACUUGCGAACGGGUGAGUAACACGUAGGUAACUGCCUAGUAGCGGGGGAUAACGAUUGGAAACGAUAGCUCAUACACCAUCCUGAGAGAUGGACCUGUGGUGGAUGAGCUAGUUGGUGAGGUAAAGGCUCACCAAGGCGACGAUACAUAGCCGGCCUUAGAGGGGUAUCGGCCACACUUGGACUGAGACACGGCCCAGACGCCUACGGGAGGCAGCAGUAGGGAAUCUUCGGCAAUGGACGGAAGUCUGACCGAGCAACGCCGCGUGAGUGAAGAAGGUUUUAGGAUCGUAAAGCUCUGUUGGUAGAGAAGCGGUACCUAACCAGAAAGGAACGGCUAACUACGUGCCAGCAGCCGCGGUAAUAC
This 407-nucleotide ribosomal RNA is filed under the name uncultured bacterium. RNAcentral's name for it is "partial 16S ribosomal RNA". It matches the Rfam family "Bacterial small subunit ribosomal RNA", at positions 28 to 526 of the family's 1533-position model. The record is from RNAcentral.